Molecule: ribosomal RNA, 279 nt
Filed under: uncultured bacterium
Lineage: Bacteria
Description: partial 16S ribosomal RNA
Rfam family: Bacterial small subunit ribosomal RNA
Source: RNAcentral
UGCCAGCAGCCGCGGUAAUACGAACCGUACGAACGUUAUUCGGAAUCACUGGGCUUAAAGAGUGCGUAGGCGGCCUGGCAAGUUGGGUGUGAAAGCCCUCGGCUCAACCGAGGAAUAGCGCCCAAAACUGCCAGACUUGAGGGAGGUAGAGGUAAGCGGAACUAAUGGUGGAGCGGUGAAAUGCGUUGAUAUCAUUAGGAACACCUGAGGCGAAAGCAGCUUACUGGGCCUCUUCUGACGCUGAGGCACGAAAGCUAGGGGAGCGAACGGGAUUAGAUA